Molecule: long non-coding RNA, 424 nt
Filed under: Anser brachyrhynchus (Pink-footed goose)
Lineage: Eukaryota; Metazoa; Chordata; Aves; Anseriformes; Anatidae
Description: lncRNA (ENSABRG00000008301.1)
Source: RNAcentral
UUAUUUAUUUAUUUUCCUGGCUUAACCUAUGAACAGGGACCUGGUCUGGUAGAAGUGGUGGCACUCAGUUCAGGAGCUUGAAGUAGCAGAAUGAGGAAGAAAUUGAACUUUUUGUGGCUCUGAAACUAUUUUCAGAGAAUGGUCUAUGAUAGUUCAUGAAAUACUUAAAGGACCUCUGGAAUGGAGAAACCAUCCUGCAUUGUCAGGGGAGCUUGAAUUACAGGAAGGUAACUAAGGAACAGGUAGCAAGACAUCCACCAAGCCUAGAGGGAAAGAGAAUUACCAUUCAGAGACACCCCAAAUCAUGAGAAACACUGACAAACUCUCCGAUUCUCCCGUGUUAUUUAUACUGGCUGACAGAAUGAGUCACAUUAUGCUACUUUUUAAUAGCUUUCUCACCUUCCUGAAAUGAAUUACAUGCUUG